RNAcentral lists this transfer RNA (120 nucleotides) under Clostridiales bacterium. Its description in RNAcentral is "tRNA-OTHER". It matches the Rfam family "tRNA". From Rfam's summary of the family: Transfer RNA (tRNA) molecules are approximately 80 nucleotides in length. Their secondary structure includes four short double-helical elements and three loops (D, anti-codon, and T loops). Further hydrogen bonds mediate the characteristic L-shaped molecular structure. tRNAs have two regions of fundamental functional importance: the anti-codon, which is responsible for specific mRNA codon recognition, and the 3' end, to which the tRNAs corresponding amino acid is attached (by aminoacyl-tRNA synthetases). tRNAs cope with the degeneracy of the genetic code in two manners: having more than one tRNA (with a specific anti-codon) for a particular amino acid; and 'wobble' base-pairing, i.e. permitting non-standard base-pairing at the 3rd anti-codon position. Lineage: Bacteria; Bacillati; Bacillota; Clostridia; Eubacteriales. The record is from RNAcentral.
GGGGCGGUAGCUCAACGGGCAGAGCGUAUCUUAAUGUGAUCGCGUCUUGGCAAAGACGCCAACAGCAACCCUAGCUUGAGGCAUGGGAUAUAGUUGCGGGUUCAAAUCCCGUUCGCUCCA